Molecule: unclassified non-coding RNA, 242 nt
Filed under: plant metagenome
Description: partial contains small subunit ribosomal RNA, internal transcribed spacer 1, and 5.8S ribosomal RNA
Rfam family: Eukaryotic small subunit ribosomal RNA (bases 1-54)
Source: RNAcentral
GGAAGUAAAAGCCGUAACAAGGUUUCCGUUGGUGAACCAGCGGAAGGAUCAUUACAGAGAUCGUGCCCUUCGGGGUAGACCUCCCACCCUGUGUUAUUUACGUAUGUUGCUUUGGCGGGCCGCCUCCGGGCUCUCGGCUUCGGCCGAGGUGUGCCCGCCAGAGAACCCACAACCCUGUGUUUAGUGUCGUCUGAGUAUUAUCAAAUAAGUUAAAACUUUCAACAACGGAUCUCUUGGUUCUG